Molecule: ribosomal RNA, 468 nt
Filed under: uncultured bacterium
Lineage: Bacteria
Description: partial 16S ribosomal RNA
Rfam family: Bacterial small subunit ribosomal RNA
Source: RNAcentral
GACGAACGCUGGCGGCGUGCUUAACACAUGCAAGUCGAACGGAAAGGCCCUGCUUUUGUGGGGUGCUCGAGUGGCGAACGGGUGAGUAACACGUGAGUAACCUGCCCUUGACUUUGGGAUAACUUCAGGAAACUGGGGCUAAUACCGGAUAGGAGCUCCUGCUGCAUGGUGGGGGUUGGAAAGUUUCGGCGGUUGGGGAUGGACUCGCGGCUUAUCAGCUUGUUGGGGGGGUAGUGGCUUACCAAGCCUUUGACGGGUAGCCCGCCUGGGAGGGUGACCGGCCACCUUGGGACUGCGAUACGGCGCAGACUCCUACGGGAGGCAGCAGUGGGGAAUAUUGCACAAUGGGCGGAAGCCUGAUGCAGCAACGCCGCGUGCGGGAUGACGGCCUUCGGGUUGUAAACCGCUUUCGCCUGUGACGAAGCGUGAGUGACGGUAAUGGGUAAAGAAGCACCGGCUAACUACGUG